CGGGAUACGUUCCCGCCGGGAUGUGGCCUAUCCAUAUUCAUCAUGACAGGAUAGGUUGAACCAGGAA
This is a regulatory RNA element of 67 nucleotides. It matches the Rfam family "eL15-Euryarchaeota ribosomal protein leader". The record is from Rfam.